AGUUCAGGGGUGGCGGAUAGGAUUGGACGUGUUGCGCCGGGGAGGUACCGGGAGGCGGCGGCCGUGUAAAGGAAAGCAGGAGGAGGCGGCGAACGUUCGAUCGAUACGCGGGGCGGAGGCGGUGCGGUGCGCGGAGGGAUUUUCGGAGCGGUGGCAGCAGCAGCAGCGGCGGCGGCGGCGGCAACAGUGUUCCCAGCACACAGUAGGCUCUGGCGGGCGGCCGCUCGCGCCGAUUUUACAGUACGCUGCCAGCCGCCACCACCACCGCCGCUACCGCCGCCAACGUCCAACGUAGAAGACGUCAGAGAACGAACGAGAACGCACGCACGCACACAAAAACCGAACGCAACUCUUGAGCAUCACAUCAGUAGCCGCCGCCGCUGCAGCCGCCUACGAUCUUCCUCCAAAAUUUUUCAAAAAAAAAUAAAAAAGCCACCCCAGAUCGGGUUUCAAACACGCACAUGUAGAGAGUGAGAGCACUAGUGUAGACACCGCACGCAAAGACGCGCGUAGUUGUUAAACAACUGCUAUGUUUUAGCUGGUGAUCGAGACGCAAAAUGACGGCCAAGUUUAGAGACGGACCAGGAAAACGUUUGUUUGUAUUCUUAAUAGCAUAAGAGACAGAAAAAUAGGAAAAAAAAAAGAAACGGAG
Long non-coding RNA from Nicrophorus vespilloides, 652 nucleotides. RefSeq lists it as uncharacterized. The record is from RefSeq and is a predicted model, not a curated record. NCBI's taxonomy places the organism in Eukaryota, Metazoa, Arthropoda, Insecta, Coleoptera, Silphidae. The transcript has 2 exons.